Molecule: ribosomal RNA, 797 nt
Filed under: uncultured bacterium
Lineage: Bacteria
Description: bacterial SSU rRNA
Rfam family: Bacterial small subunit ribosomal RNA
Source: RNAcentral
AGAGUUUGAUCAUGGCUCAGAUUGAACGCUGGCGGCAUGCCUUACACAUGCAAGUCGAACGGCAGCACGGGAGCUUGCUCCUGGUGGCGAGUGGCGAACGGGUGAGUAAUGCAUCGGAACGUGCCCUGAAGUGGGGGAUAACGCAGCGAAAGUUGCGCUAAUACCGCAUAUUCUGUGAGCAGGAAAGCAGGGGAUCGCAAGACCUUGCGCUUUAGGAGCGGCCGAUGUCGGAUUAGCUAGUUGGUGGGGUAAAGGCUCACCAAGGCGACGAUCCGUAGCGGGUCUGAGAGGAUGAUCCGCCACACUGGGACUGAGACACGGCCCAGACUCCUACGGGAGGCAGCAGUGGGGAAUUUUGGACAAUGGGCGAAAGCCUGAUCCAGCCAUGCCGCGUGCAGGAAGAAGGCCUUCGGGUUGUAAACUGCUUUUGUCAGGGAAGAAAUCUUCUGGGUUAAUACCUCGGGAGGAUGACGGUACCUGAAGAAUAAGCACCGGCUAACUACGUGCCAGCAGCCGCGGUAAUACGUAGGGUGCGAGCGUUAAUCGGAAUUACUGGGCGUAAAGCGUGCGCAGGCGGCUUUGCAAGACAGAGGUGAAAUCCCCGGGCUCAACCUGGGAACUGCCUUUGUGACUGCAAGGCUAGAGUACGGCAGAGGGGGAUGGAAUUCCGCGUGUAGCAGUGAAACGCGUAGAUAUGCGGAGGAACACCAAUGGCGAAGGCAAUCCCCUGGGCCUGUACUGACGCUCAUGCACGAAAGCGUGGGGAGCAAACAGGAUUAGAUACCCCGGUAGUCCAA